UAAAGCAUAGUGGUAAGAAGAAAAAUAUUUGGCCGUUAACCAAAAGAUACUUAGGGGUAAUGGGGUUGCUUUAU
Molecule: transfer RNA, 74 nt
Filed under: Diversibipalium mayottensis
Lineage: Eukaryota; Metazoa; Platyhelminthes; Tricladida; Geoplanidae
Description: tRNA-Asn
Source: RNAcentral